UUGUAAUGUUUGGAGAGGACAAGAUGGCGCCGGUUUAAUAUUUACUUCGUGUCAUCAGAGGGGAUUUUUGUUCACAAAUAACCGCUUAUUUUACGUUAUAGCGACUGGUUAGUUUUGGAAAUUAGAACUCAAUGGACAAGGAAAACGAUUCUGUAGUAAAAAGAAAAAAGGCGUGUCAAGUUAUUGACUUGUGAUGUUAAUAUUUGUUGUGAAAGACGGCCGGAAAUUUCGCUACAUCGCUGUACUGGUUUAUAAACAAUUUCACUGGAAAUUCGACCAUGGAUAAAGAGAGAAUGAAAGAACAGCCUGUCUUAACGGUAAGUUUUUAAAGGGUUUUCAAUUUUUGGUAAUGUUUUUAGUUUAAAGCUUUCUCUCGAAACUAUACUUCGGUAGAGACCGUAGAGUCAGUGGACAAUUUUGGCUAACGUUGUUUUCUACAUUCGUUGCUACCCAAUUGACAACAUUAGGUAAAUCACGUGCCUAUAUUAAGUAGUUUUUCUUUGUUAGAAUUUAAUAUACGACAUUGGAACACCAUUUUACAUUUGUUUUAAAAUUUAAAGGGCUGUAAAAGUCCAUUCUGCGCAUCAUUCUGCUCUGCUGCCACAGAGCCCAAGCGUUGGUCUGUGUUGUAUGUUUUUCAGUUUAUUUAUUUUAGUAUCUUUAGGCCACAUAAAAUAAAUUCCUUGAUUCUCAUCACCGCCCGACUGUAUUUUAAGAGCUGCGUGAAAUUUUUUAAAAUUUUGUUGUACAAUAUAAAUGAACCGCCCGACAAAAUAUUUCAAGACAUUUAAGUUUUUUAUAUUUAAAAUUUUGUUUUUAGUGCCAUUUUAAACUGCCAAUGGACCUUUCCCCUUAUAACUAAAAUUUCGAUCUAGGCAAAAAUUUCACCACAGCUUGAAAGAGCAUCACAAAAUUAGUAAUAUUCCAAAGUUUUGUUGCAAAAUCUUGUAAAAUGCGGAUAAUAUAGCCUUGCGAAGUUUGCCGUUUUUCAGUCAUUUUGUAUUACAAACGGGAAAUUGACAUCCGAUUCGGGUGUUGGGCUGCAAUUUCCCGUUUGUAAUGCAAAAUGACUGAAAAUUGCAAACUUCGCAAUGCUCUAUUUUCCUCAUUUUACAACAUUUCGCAACGAAACUUUGGAAUAUUACUAAUUUUGUGAUGCUCUUUCAAGCUGUGAUGAAAUAUUUGUCUAGACUUGCCUAGAUCAAAAUUUUGGUUAUAAGGGGAAAGGUCUAUUUCUAACAAAUAGAACCUUGAAAGAAAUUUCAUUGCAUUUUAAUGGUACUUUGCAUUCAGUUCAAGGGUUCAGUCAUUGUUCGUGGAGAAAUAUGUUCAUUUUGGUUUGUGACACUUCACUUUGGAAAUCACAGAAAUAUUAAAUGUUAGGAAUUAUUUUUUUAUUUAUUGAUGAUAAAUUAUAUAAAUAUAAAAUAUAAACCUCCCGGCUCUUCGACGUUUUCAAAGUCUAGUGAUGAGAAUCGAGGAAUUUAUUUUAUGUGGCCUAAACUGAAAAACAUACAAAUACAAAUCAACCGAUAUGUUGUUAUUAUAUGUUUGACUAUAGAAAUAUAUAUAUAUAUAUAUAUAUUAUAUUAAGAUGAAAAUGUUCUAGAGUGUGUAUUAUAUAAUUUCCAUACCCAGCGCAUGCAGAAAGAUGUAUAAUUCACACUCUAGAACAUUUUCAUCUUAACAUAUUACAGAAAUAUUAAAUGUUAGCAAUUAUUUUUUUAUUUAUUGAUGAUAAAUUAUAUAAAUAUAAAAUAUAAACCUCCCGGCUCUUCGACGUUUUCAAAGUCUAGUGAUGAGAAUCAAGGAAUUUAUUUUAUGUGGCCUAAACUGAAAAACAUACAAAUACAAAUCAACCGAUAUGUUGUUAUUAUAUGUUUGACUAUAGAAAUAUAUAUAUAUAUAUAUAUAUAUAUAUAUAUAUAUAUAUAUAUAUAUAUAUAUAUAUAUAUAUAUAUUAAGAUGAAAAUGUUCUAGAGUGUGUAUUAUAUAAUUUCCAUACCCAGCGCAUGCAGAAAGAUGUAUAAUUCACACUCUAGAACAUUUUCAUCUUAACAUAUUACAGAGGUUACAAUUACACAAUUAACAUACUAGAACAUUUUCAUCUUAACAUAUUACAGUCUACAGAGGUUACAAUUACACAAUUAACAUAUAUAUAUAUAUAUAUAUAUAUAUAUAUAUAUAUAUAUAUAUAUACACACAAGACAAGUAUGUAUGCCAUUCCGGCGCAUCGUUAAGUAAAAUUAAAUGCUAGAACAAAAUGCAAAUUGAGUGAAUUUGCAAUCGGAUUUUGUCACAGCAAAAAAAUGUAUGUUACAAUUUUUUUGUGAUCGGACCAAUGUCCGAUCAAAAUUACUUUUGCUUGGACAUUUGCCAAAUUUAGUCGGACGUUGUCCAAUGUCCGACAGUAAUUUGCAGCCCUGAAAUAACAUUGCCCAAAGGUUUUACCCAAAAUUCCAAAGGGAUUUUACAACUUUAGAAAGUGGAAAUAUUUCCAGAUACAUGGGCCAUCAUUCCAAUACCAAAUUUAUACUGGUUUAUACUUAACAAACAUAAAACAUUUUUUUCUGUAUUGAUAUACAUUACAGUUACAUCAACACAUGUGGAAAUUGGGAAAACGAGAAAUUGUGUGGAAAUAUGACGCCCGGAGUGUUUUCAAACAAUUUCGAGUUUUCCCAAUUUCCACGAGUUAUAUCAACACAGCUCUUAGCCAAUUAGCUUUCAGAAUUUACAAAUGCUGUAUUAUAAUAUAGUUUAUUUUGUCUAAAAAUACCCUCUGAGAAAGUUCACAAGCUAACCUCUUUGAAAUUUGAGGUCCUUAACGUGUCUAGAAAAACAAAUGCCAUACCAUCACAAUAUUUUAUAAUAGAUAUGAGUGGAUCGUUUUAUUUAUAUAUGUGACCACUAUAUAUUUAGAUUUUCUGCAUUUGUAUUUCAGCGAGUGCCGGUUGCAUGUUUGUCUAGGGCGUUGUGUGCAAUCUAACAUGCUGUAACAUUGAUCCUGUAAUGGCCAAUGUUUUGUUUUUUGUUCUCAUUUUUUUCCUUUACGAUUUUUCCUAAGAUUGCCUUUAUACAAUAUUUUUCGGUUAGGUUAGAGUUAGGGUCACGUUUCUUUUUAAGAUAGUUAAUAAUUUGCACACCAAUUUGAAUUGUAUUUAUUAUGCUAAAUGCUGAGCCUCUGACAUGAUCUGAUAUGAUCACAGACGGGGGUCACAGAAAGCCUGGGAUAAACUGACUACCCCUGUUCGCAGGAUACGUGCGUGGGAGACACGCACAAUUUGUAAUAACAGGCAGCAAGAUACACUGUAUAAGUAAGUGACAAGGGAUGAAACUCUUAAAGUUUAUCAUAUUAUGAAUGCCCUGACUUGAGUGGGCCAAUAAUUAUGCAAUGAGUGACAUGUAAAAUGAAUGCUGUCAACCUUUGGUCCAGGGAUGGAUUUACUGGAGGGGGGGGGUGCGCACCUCCCCUAGCCCUGGCCAGGGGGGGUUCUAUUUUUCAUGAUAAAGCAAAAAAUUAUCAGAGACAAAAUGAGAUUCAGUAAUUUGAGUAAUAACAUGAUGAUAAGCGAACUGUGAACAACAAUUACAAUUCAAAUACUGUAGCUAGACUUUACAGUAGUUAAGCAAGUUGAUGGAUGUGUAAAGCCACUGGAAAGCAAUUGCAAUGUACUUGUCUGGAAAAUUUUUUUUCCCUAAAAAGUUGUUGAUGGGUUUCAAUGUUAAAUUAAAAACCAACUACAGUACAUUGGGUCCAACUACAUUGGUCGCUAUUAAAAACUAUAGCAAUUUAUAAGACUUUAGGGCUUUUAUUUCACAAAAGUUUCAAUGGCUAUUUACUUUAGCCUUAGACAUAUCAUGUAGCCAUAUUUCAAGCGAAAAUUCGUUUUAACAAGCACAUGCAGCUUCAAAAUAAAACAUUGCCAUACAAGACAAGGGUCUUGUUUCCUAUUUUCAGCGGGAAAUGUUACAUGCAUAUCCUGCAAACAGGCUGUCAGGUUUGAAAGGCGCUGCUUUUAUAUAAGCUAAUAAUAGAUGCUUGUGAUGUUACUCUGAGUGUGUAUCCACACCGGGCAAGCUUGAAAAAUAUGCCUGGCCCCGGUGGGCUAGUUGUAGGUUCAAUUCCCACUGGGGCCAGGCAUAUUUUUCAAGCUUGCCUGGUGUGGAUACACACUCAGAUUAACAUCACAAGCAUCAUAUUUACCUGAGUACACUAUACCAACACAUAAAAAUCAUGAUUAUUAGAUUACAUUGAUAUCAAAGGAACUAGACUCAGUUCCGAAAUAUCACAUACUCAAACCGACCUGACCGCAUAGCUCAGUUGGCAUACCAUUGGGCUAGUAUUCCAAUUCAAAGGUCGUAGGUUCGAUUCCCACCGGGGCCAAGCAUAUUUUUCAAGCUUGCCUGGUGUGGAUACACACUCAGAGUAACAUCACAAGCAUCAUAUUGGGUCGUUCCAGAAAAGAUCCACACUCCCCCCACAGAGGAAAUUUCUGCUGUCCGGAGGGGGAGGGGAGAAAAAAUUGUUCUGAUCAUAGGGUUAACUUCCAGAUUCCUCCAUGGGGGUGGUAUGGAUGUUUUCUGGAAUGCCCUAUUCACCUGAGUACACUACACCAACACAGAAAAAUCAUGAUUAUUAGAUUACAUUGAUAUCAAAGGAACUAGACUCAGUUGCAAAAUAUCCAUAGACUGUUUUGUGGGGUGCACAGGGUGCCUAACCCCCCCCCCCAAUAUUAGCUAUAACACCCCCCCACCCCCCCAACAAGUCAAGCUGUUGCUUCAAGUCAAUCCGUGCAAAACCUCUUUUUAGAAACUUUUUAACUGAAUUGUCUUUCUAUGGAACAAUCUCUCUCCAAUCAUUCGUAACAGUUCGUCUGUUUCAUCCUUUAACUUACAGCUCCAUUCUUACUGCUCUUCUCAAUUAGACUCUUCUUUCGAUGUUAACAGAUUGCGCACUUGGAAAACCAACUGCUCCAAAUGCCGUUCUUUCAACUUAAGCUGUUGCUCAUGAUCUAAACUAUUAUUUUUUAUAUAGUUAUGUAAAUAGUGUUCUAGUCCUUGUCUUUAAUGUUUGUCUACUUAUUGUAUUGUAUCAGGUUGGUCUUCACAUGGGACUCAUGUCCUGUUGACCAUACCUUCAAUAAUUGUUAUAUUUUUUGUAUGAUUGUAAAGUUAAUAAAUAAAUAAAUUUGGGAAGCGAUUUAUUGCUAUUCGUAGAUUCCUGUACGCGUAGCGUACCUAUUUUUUCCUCUUGGCGAGGAGAGAAAAGACCCUGGUAGAUGCUGGUCACAUAAUCUGCUAAACUCUAGCAGAUUAUUAAUUAGAAAUUCAAGAUGAGGUCAAUAAGUAUUUGAUUUUUGGAUGAUUUUUACAUUUAUAACCCUAUAAGUGGCAAUGUGUCCCGGUGUGCCCUACUGUCUAAUUUAUUAAUGCCAGACAUGUGCCCUAUGCACCCCGAUGUGCCCUAUGCACCCUGAUGUGCGCAAUGUACUGUCUAAUGCCAGAUGAUUUUACUUGUCAAGUUCCCCCUCCCAAGUGAAGAGGAAAGAUCCUAGGUACAGAUGUUGAGUUACCUGCCUUGGGCAAAGAGAUUAAAAAUUUAGGGGUGCACCAGAACAUUUUUAAAGUUCCGGCCAGAACCGGAUUUGGCCAGAACUGGAAAAAAGUUCUGGCUGGAAGUUCUGGCCGGAAAUGAUUUAUUAGCCAUAUAUGGAGGGUAUUACAUGGCAGCGCGAAGAUAUGACUUUUUAUCUUUGAGUGGUGAAAACAAUAUUGGUGGAAAGUAAUUGUUUUGUGAGAGAAAUGGUUAUUGACAAUGUUCAGAAAGUUUGGAAUAGUUCAGGGCUUUUUUUCCAGGGCUGUAGUUAGAAUGCUAAUUAGGGGGGGGGGGGGUGCAUAUUCAUAUAUUCAUGUUCACAUACUGUAAAAACGAUCGAUUUCAAAAGAAAUCUGUCAGGCAGAACACAAAUAUAUAUUCAUGUAUAUUCAUACACCCCCAAUCAGUGUUAUACUAAGCUACGGCCCUUUCCUGUGCAAGGGUUCUUUGAAAAAUGUUUUAAAACAUGUUUUUAUCAGUCGAAAGUAGUUAUUUUGAUGAGAGAAAUGUUUAUCAACAAUUUUCAGAAAGUUCAGAAGAUUUUGUGGUUUGUUUUCAAUUUUUGGAAAAUUUCCUAGGGUUGCUUUGUUCCCCUUUGCAUUUUGCCGAAAAUAUAUAAUUUUUUUUUCGGUAGAUGGUAUAAAAUGUUUCUCGACAAUUUGCAGAAAAUUUGGAAUAGUUUGGGGAACGUUUUGAAUUUUUAAAAAAUUUACUGUGGUUCCACUUUUUAUGACCCUAAGGUUUUAUGACUCCUCCCCCUUCACUUUACCCAAAAAAAUUAAAACAUAUAUUAUUUUUAUUGGUCGAAACUAAUUGAGUAAUUGAAGAUGUUUUGGCGCUGACCAUGAUAGGUUUCUGUUGAUGCAUUGGCAUUCAUUUUGUAAAAUGCAAAUUUAGAAAUUAGAAAUUCUGAAUAAUAUUUUUGUAUGCCAAUACCGGUAAGAUUUAAAUUCCCUUAGGGAAUUAUUGGCAUAGAAAAUUAUAAUUCGGGAUUAUAAUAAUUUUGUAUGCUUCAUUCAAUAUAUUGACCAAUCAGGGAGAUUAUUUUGUGAAUACCCACAAUGCUGAACAGAAAUAGCAUUCCAGAGUAAAUUAUAUUCAAAUUUUUAUUUAAAUUUAGGGUGUGUUGCAGCUCUAUAUUCUGCCCGUUGCCUCGUGUAGUUUAGUCAAAGUCGUCGCCUAUUUGUGAACAGAAGUACUUCAAGGAUGAGGAAGGAUGAAGAUGCAACGUUUAAAUACAGCAAAGAAGCACAAACUCCGAAGUUAAAUACAUGAUUAAGGUAUGUUCUAUCAAUUUGAUGUGAAAUGUAACAAGUUAACUGUAUUUGGUCGAAGUCGCUUAAAUAUCGUUCGACGUCUUGUUCUGGAGUAAAGAUACUGAAUUAAACCUUAAGAUUUCGUGAAGUUUAGUUUAAAUUAGUAGAGAGAUAAGUGCAUAAAGUAUUCAGGGUAUUUUGGAGCUAAAUUUGUUUUAAAAUCUGUCAUUUUAGCGAAAACAAGAAAUGUUGAAUUUGAAUGUCGUCCACGUGGAACACAACGCGUUUUUUCUGGUCGCCCAGAUCGUUGCGAGGAGGCAUUGGGCAUUGUAAUCAAUGGAUGACAAUGUGUGUCGCUGGCAAACCUACACUCCCCACUGCGACAGGCAGUCAAGCAUUUUUAACCUGCACAUUUUUGUUUUUAUUUCCCGUAUUUUUAUUUUAUGUUCAUAAAUAUCAUGACUCAUGACUAAAAGCUGGAAGGAGUUGAGAUUCCCCACUUAACUGCAUGCCUUCUGAUCAUUUAUAGACUCCAUUUUACAUGCUACCAUUUUACCAGGAAGAAUUUUUGGAAUAUAUAGUCAUAUAGAGCCCAACUAUAUGUCUUUGGCUCUGGGAAUAAGUUCUUUGUAUAAAAAAAUAGGUACGCAUAGCAUGCAUAGGCAGUGGCAUUUCAACUUUAUUAUUUUUCCAAGGUCUCUGUGAGACUUUGAGUCAUUCAGCAUGAACAAGCAGUACAUGUAAAAAGAAAGGCGCCGCUUUUUGGGUGUACUGUUUGUCCAUGUUGAAUGGCUGGAAGUGUUGCAGGUAUCUUGGGAUAUCUAAUAAAGUUGUGAUGUUAUUUCAGUUCUGUUUCUAUAAAGGGCAGAGUGAAAAAUGGCCGUUAACAUUAAAAACUACAGUUGAUUAUAUUUAGGGAUGCCGGAGAAGGGGAGGGGUAUUGGGGAGGGGAGCAUAUUGCUUAGGCUUUCGAAAUAUAGACCGCAUAGUUAAUUGAUAUUUCAAAUUUAUUAAAACCUAAGAUUCAUUGCCUAUGUGCGUUUUAGUAACAAUGAAAGGCAAGUAUAAAGUGCCAUUCACAGUUUUGGGGUAUAAAGCCCCUUUACGCUGCGCUUACGCUCAAUUUUUGGUGCGCACUAUGUGCAUUAGUUUUACACAAGUAUAUAUAUAGUGUCGUUAAACUGCAUGCCAAAAAUUUCUGUUGACUGUUAGAAUGGUGGCUUGUAUGUAGGGAUAUCUUGCUAGGAUUUGCACAUUUAAAUAUUUACAAGUGCAUUAGGCCUCUUAGGUUUUAGUUUAAGACCAACAUGAGCGAGUGAGAUAAACUCGACUAGCUUAGGAUAAGGCAUCAAGCGUGAAAUCCACUCACUAGACCCCUCAGGAUCGGACCCCAAUUGACCUUUUUUCAAUACCAAAUGUGAAAUUACCCCAACCUUGCCCACAUCGUUGAAGAGUCAUGGUGGAUAUCUUGGGCAAAUGUGCAUUUUCUUGGUGGAUAUCUUGGGGAAUACAUUCAAUACCAUCAGGGAUAUCUUGGGCAAAUGUGCAAUAUACCUUGAGGGAUAUCUUGGGCAAAUGUGCAAUAUGGCAAAUGGGCAAAUAUCUUGGAAAAACUCGUACAAUUUAAACUAAAGAAGGGUGAUGUCUUAAGGUUAGUGGAUAUUUAUAAUAGCGAUAAAAUGGGGGUUCCCUGCGAAUAGGAACAAAGUAAAGGCCCACACAGACCAGACGCGAUUCGGCAACGCGACACAAAUUUUCAGUUUUCAAAAACAAAUAAAACUGUCAACG
Non-coding RNA from Paramuricea clavata, 8640 nucleotides. The record is from the annotation of a GenBank genome assembly. NCBI's taxonomy places the organism in Eukaryota, Metazoa, Cnidaria, Anthozoa, Malacalcyonacea, Plexauridae.